This 73-nucleotide transfer RNA is filed under the name Paramuricea clavata. It matches the Rfam family "tRNA". From Rfam's summary of the family: Transfer RNA (tRNA) molecules are approximately 80 nucleotides in length. Their secondary structure includes four short double-helical elements and three loops (D, anti-codon, and T loops). Further hydrogen bonds mediate the characteristic L-shaped molecular structure. tRNAs have two regions of fundamental functional importance: the anti-codon, which is responsible for specific mRNA codon recognition, and the 3' end, to which the tRNAs corresponding amino acid is attached (by aminoacyl-tRNA synthetases). tRNAs cope with the degeneracy of the genetic code in two manners: having more than one tRNA (with a specific anti-codon) for a particular amino acid; and 'wobble' base-pairing, i.e. permitting non-standard base-pairing at the 3rd anti-codon position. The record is from Rfam by way of RNAcentral. Lineage: Eukaryota; Metazoa; Cnidaria; Anthozoa; Malacalcyonacea; Plexauridae.
AACCACGUAGCUCAGUUGGCAGAGCAUUGGGCUAGUAUUCCAAAGGUCGUAGGUUCGAUUCCCACCGUGGCCG